GGACGAUUAGCUCAGCUGGGCCUGCCUUACAAGCAGGAUGUCGGCAGUUCGAUCCUGUCAUCGUCCACCA
Molecule: transfer RNA, 70 nt
Filed under: Veillonella sp.
Lineage: Bacteria; Bacillati; Bacillota; Negativicutes; Veillonellales; Veillonellaceae
Description: tRNA-Val
Rfam family: tRNA
About the family: Transfer RNA (tRNA) molecules are approximately 80 nucleotides in length.
Source: RNAcentral